Molecule: long non-coding RNA, 253 nt
Organism: Gymnodraco acuticeps
Lineage: Eukaryota; Metazoa; Chordata; Actinopteri; Perciformes; Bathydraconidae
Exons: 3
Source: RefSeq, a predicted model, not a curated record
CCGGGAUCAAUACCAACCAUCCGGGAGCAGGCCAGUGAGGACACAUCCAAUUUUGAAGCUGCCAGCACCUCACAUGCUACCAGCAGAUUACCUGUGAUGACAGAUUCUGCAUGUCAGACUGACCCACCCAAGUACCGUACUGUUCGUACACAGCUAUCCUCGAGGACUCUUGGUUCACAUCGAAGUACAGCUGUCCAGGCUAAAAUUCCCUGCAGAAGCGUUGGUGUCUAAACACUUCCGUUGGAAGUGCCAG